AAUGAACGCUGGCGGCGUGCUUAACACAUGCAAGUCGAACGAGAAAGGCUUCUUCGGGAGCCGAGUAGAGUGGCGCACGGGUGAGUAACGCGUAGGUAACCUGCCCCUGGUGUUGGGGAUAACACUCCGAAAGGGGUGCUAAUACCGGAUACGACGACUCCUCGGUAAGGGGGAUCGUGAAAGAGGGCCUCUCCAAUGAGAAGCUCUUGCACCGGGAGGGACCUGCGUCCUAUCAGCUGGUUGGUAGGGUAGCGGCCUACCAAGGCGACGACGGGUAGCUGGUCUGAGAGGAUGAUCAGCCACACUGGCACUGGAACACGGGCCAGACUCCUACGGGAGGCAGCAGUGAGGAAUUUUGCGCAAUGGGGGAAACCCUGACGCAGCAACGCCGCGUGGGUGAUGAAGGCCUUCGGGUCGUAAAGCCCUGUCGGGUGGGAAGAAAGGGGAGGAGGGAAACACCCUCUUCUCGUGACGGUACCACCAGAGGAAGCACCGGCUAACUCCGUGCCAGCAGCCGCGGUAAUACGGAGGGUGCAAGCGUUAUUCGGAAUUACUGGGCGUAAAGCGCGUGCAGGCGGGUGAGGCGGGUCUGAUGUGAAAGCCCGGGGCUUAACCCCGGAAGUGCAUUGGAAACUGCCCAUCUUGAGUUCCGGAGAGGAAGGGGGAAUUCCCGGUGUAGAGGUGAAAUUCGUAGAGAUCGGGAGGAAUACCAGUGGCGAAGGCGCCCUUCUGGACGGCAACUGACGCUGAGACGCGAAAGCGUGGGGAGCAAACAGGAUUAGAUACCCUGGUAGUCCACGCUGUAAACGAUGAUCACUGGGUGUAGCGGGUACUCAUUCCUGCUGUGCCGCAGCUAACGCGUUAAGUGAUCCGCCUGGGGACUACGGUCGCAAGACUAA
This 899-nucleotide ribosomal RNA is filed under the name uncultured bacterium. Its description in RNAcentral is "bacterial SSU rRNA". It matches the Rfam family "Bacterial small subunit ribosomal RNA", at positions 28 to 897 of the family's 1533-position model. The record is from RNAcentral.